This 511-nucleotide ribosomal RNA is filed under the name uncultured bacterium. Its description in RNAcentral is "partial 16S ribosomal RNA". It matches the Rfam family "Bacterial small subunit ribosomal RNA", at positions 28 to 506 of the family's 1533-position model. The record is from RNAcentral.
GAUGAACGCUGGCGGCGUGCCUAAUACAUGCAAGUCGAACGAAACUUCUUUAUCACCGAGUGCUUGCACUCACCGAUAAAGAGUUGAGUGGCGAACGGGUGAGUAACACGUGGGCAACCUGCCCAAAAGAGGGGGAUAACACUUGGAAACAGGUGCUAAUACCGCAUAACCAUAGUUACCGCAUGGUAACUAUGUAAAAGGUGGCUAUACUACCGCUUUUGGAUGGGCCCGCGGCGCAUUAGCUAGUUGGUAGGGUAAAGGCUUACCAAGGCAAUGAUGCGUAGCCGAAUUGAGAGGUUGAUCGGCCACAUUGGGACUGAGACACGGCCCAAACUCCUACGGGAGGCAGCAGUAGGGAAUCUUCCACAAUGGGCGAAAGCCUGAUGGAGCAACGCCGCGUGGGUGAAGAAGGUCUUCGGAUCGUAAAACCCUGUUGUUAGAGAAGAAAGUGCGUGAGAGUAACUGUUCACGUUUCGACGGGAUCUAACCAGAAAGCCACGGCUAACUACGU